This 1390-nucleotide ribosomal RNA is filed under the name human gut metagenome. Its description in RNAcentral is "bacterial LSU rRNA". It matches the Rfam family "Bacterial large subunit ribosomal RNA", at positions 502 to 1980 of the family's 2925-position model. The record is from RNAcentral.
UGUGAAGGAAAGGUGAAAAGGACCCCGGGAGGGGAGUGAAAGAGAACCUGAAACCUUGUGCCUACAAGCACAUAGAGCCCGUCAAAGGGUGAUAUGGUACUUUUUGUAGAACGGUCCGGCGAGCGAUUGUACGUUGCGAGCUUAAGGUCUUAAGGACUGGAGGCGUAGCGAGAGCGAGUCUAAACAGGGCGUUUAGUAGCGUGCAAUGGGCCCGAAACCGGGUGACCUACCCAUGAUCAGGCUGAAGUGAAAGUAAAAUUUCAUGGAGGGCCGAACCGACCUCCGUUGAAAAGGCGGCGGAUGAAUUGUGGGUAGCGGAGAAAUUCCAAUCGAACUCGGAGAUAGCUGGUUCUCCCCGAAAUAGCUUUAGGGCUAGCCUCAUGUUAGAUAUCCGGAGGUAAAGCACUGAAUGGCCUAGCGUCCGAGAGGAUAGCGAAGCCUAUCAAACUAAGAAUGCCGGAAUAUUGAUGCAUGGGAGUCAGACAGUGUGAGAUAAAUCUCAUUGUCAAAAGGGAAACAGCCCAGAUCUACAGCUAAGGUCCCAAAUUGUAUCUAAGUGGAAAACGAUGUGGAAAUACGCAGACAACCAGGAUGUUGGCUCAGAAGCAGCCACUCAUUUAAAGAGUGCGUAAUAGCUCACUGGUCGAGCGUCUCUGCGCGGAAAAUUUAACGGGGCUAAGAUACAAACCGAAGCUUAGGCUGCAUAUGUAAAUAUGCGGGGUAGGGGAGCGUUGUGUAAGCGGAGAAACAGUAGCGAAAGCGGCUGUGGAGUUUACAGAAGUGAGAAUGCCGGAAUGAGUAGCGCGAAUGAUGUGAGAAUCAUCAUGGCCGGAAACCUCAGGUUUUUGGAGGAAGGUUCGUCCGCUCCAAGUUAGGCGGGAGCUAAGGUCAGGCCGAAAGGCGUAGCCGAUGCACAGACGGUAGAGAUUCCGUCCCCACCGAAAGAUUUAAGCGCAGGGACACUUUUAGAAGGUCGGAGCCAGGUGUUGGUUCUGGUAGUGAUCGAGGGAAAUAUAGUACCGAAGUCCGGCUGGAUAAGAGGCGAGAAAAGCUGUGUGUAUAUCUAAGGUGCCCGUACCGCAAACCGACACAGGUAGGUAGGAAGAAGAUUCUAAGGCCAACGGGAGAAGGGUUGUUAAGGAACUCGGCAAAUUGACCCCGUAACUUCGGGAGAAGGGGUGCUCCAGAGAUGGAGCCGCAGAGAAUCGGCCCAAGCAACUGUUUACCAAAAACACAGGUUUGUGCUAAAUCGAAAGAUGACGUAUACGAGCUGACGCCUGCCCGGUGCUGGAAGGUUAAGAGGAGAUGUGCAAGCAUUGAAUCGAAGCCCCAGUGAACGGCGGCCGUAACUAUAACGGUCCUAAGGUAGCGAAAUUCCUUGUCAGGUAAG